This 484-nucleotide ribosomal RNA is filed under the name uncultured bacterium. RNAcentral describes it as "partial 16S ribosomal RNA". It matches the Rfam family "Bacterial small subunit ribosomal RNA", at positions 30 to 507 of the family's 1533-position model. The record is from RNAcentral.
AUUGAACGCUAGCGGCAUGCUUUACACAUGCAAGUCGAACGGCAGCGCGGACUUCGGUCUGGCGGCGAGUGGCGAACGGGUGAGUAAUGUAUCGGAACGUGCCCAGUAGCGGGGGAUAACUACGCGAAAGCGUAGCUAAUACCGCAUACGCCCUGCGGGGGAAAGCGGGGGAUCGUAAGACCUUGCGCUAUUGGAGCGGCCGAUAUCGGAUUAGCUAGUUGGUGAGGUAACGGCUUACCAAGGCGACGAUCCGUAGCUGGUCUGAGAGGACGACCAGCCACACUGGGACUGAGACACGGCCCAGACUCCUACGGGAGGCAGCAGUGGGGAAUUUUGGACAAUGGGGGCAACCCUGAUCCAGCCAUCCCGCGUGUGCGAUGAAGGCCUUCGGGUUGUAAAGCACUUUUGGUAGGAAAGAAACGUCGUGGGCUAAUACCCCGUGGAACUGACGGUACCUGAAGAAUAAGCACCGGCUAACUACGUG